Molecule: long non-coding RNA, 576 nt
Filed under: Drosophila melanogaster (fruit fly)
Lineage: Eukaryota; Metazoa; Arthropoda; Insecta; Diptera; Drosophilidae
Description: antisense RNA:CR43629 (Dmel_CR43629)
Source: RNAcentral
UUGCGUCACGCGCUGUUCGCCAGAAGCAAAAAGCACUGCUUUCCCGCAACCGCUCUCUUUUUUUUAUGCGCAAGAUACAUUGUACUUAAUUGCUUGGCGCAAAAUACCGGCUGCUGUUGCCCCACACUUUUCUCUUAAACCUCUUCGGCUUCGGCUUCAGCCAGGCGGCCAGGGUUGCCACGGCUAGCUCACGCGAAAGCCAGCUGCCGCCAAAUAAUUUUUGGGCUUCACUCGGUCUCGAUUUGUUUCGAGCCACCCCUUAACUACGCAACACAUUCGCAGAGGACUACCAACACACCUACACAGCGUAGCGAAGGGAACGCGGGUCAAGGUGUUCAGUUCGGUUGGGUCCUUUUAUGCAAGGAAAUGAACCGGAAAUUAUGUUGCACACACCGUCGAACGAAAACAACAGUUUUUUGAACUUGGCUCAUCGAGCGGCCGACAAUCCAAUCCAUUCGAGGCGAGUUGGAUAGGUGUGAAUCGGUCUGCAAAAUAAUUUUUACUAUUAUUUAUUUUUUUGCAGAACAAAUGAAGAUAUUUUCUGUAUUAAAAAUAAACCAGAAAACCUAUGUACAC